GACCUUCGGGUCUAGUGGCGCACGGGUGCGUAACGCGUGGGAAUCUGCCCUUGGGUUCGGGAUAACAGUUGGAAACGACUGCUAAUACCGGAUGAUGACUUCGGUCCAAAGAUUUAUCGCCCAGGGAUGAGCCCGCGUAGGAUUAGCUUGUUGGUGAGGUAAGAGCUCACCAAGGCGACGAUCCUUAGCUGGUCUGAGAGGAUGAUCAGCCACACUGGGACUGAGACACGGCCCAGACUCCUACGGGAGGCAGCAGUGGGGAAUAUUGGACAAUGGGCGAAAGCCUGAUCCAGCAAUGCCGCGUGAGUGAUGAAGGCCUUAGGG
This 324-nucleotide ribosomal RNA is filed under the name uncultured bacterium. RNAcentral describes it as "bacterial SSU rRNA". It matches the Rfam family "Bacterial small subunit ribosomal RNA", at positions 72 to 422 of the family's 1533-position model. The record is from RNAcentral.